AUUGAACGCUGGCGGCAGGCCUAACACAUGCAAGUCGAGCGGAUGAAGGGAGCUUGCUCCUGGAUUCAGCGGCGGACGGGUGAGUAAUGCCUAGGAAUCUGCCUGGUAGUGGGGGAUAACGUCCGGAAACGGGCGCUAAUACCGCAUACGUCCUGAGGGAGAAAGUGGGGGAUCUUCGGACCUCACGCUAUCAGAUGAGCCUAGGUCGGAUUAGCUAGUUGGUGGGGUAAAGGCCUACCAAGGCGACGAUCCGUAACUGGUCUGAGAGGAUGAUCAGUCACACUGGAACUGAGACACGGUCCAGACUCCUACGGGAGGCAGCAGUGGGGAAUAUUGGACAAUGGGCGAAAGCCUGAUCCAGCCAUGCCGCGUGGGUGAAGAAGGUCUUCGGAUUGUAAAGCACUUUAAGUUGGGAGGAAGGGCAGUAAGUUAAGACCUUGCUGUUUUGACGUUACCAACAGAAUAAGCACCGGCUAACUUCGU
Molecule: ribosomal RNA, 483 nt
Filed under: uncultured bacterium
Lineage: Bacteria
Description: partial 16S ribosomal RNA
Rfam family: Bacterial small subunit ribosomal RNA
Source: RNAcentral